AGUGGCGGACGGGUGAGUAACGCGUAAGAAUCUAACUUCAGGACGGGGACAACAGUUGGAAACGACUGCUAAUACCCGAUGUGCCGCAAGGUGAAACCUAAUUGGCCUGGAGAAGAGCUUGCGUCUGAUUAGCUAGUUGGCGGGGUAAAGGCCUACCAAGGCGACGAUCAGUAGCUGGUCUGAGAGGAUGAGCAGCCACACUGGGACUGAGACACGGCCCAGACUCCUACGGGAGGCAGCAGUGGGGAAUUUUCCGCAAUGGGCGAAAGCCUGACGGAGCAACGCCGCGUGAGGGAGGAAGGUCUUUGGAUUGUAAACCUCUUUUCUCAAGGAAGAAGUUCUGACGGUACUUGAGGAAUCAGCCUCGGCUAACUCCGUGCCAGCAGCCGCGGUAAUACGGGGGAGGCAAGCGUUAUCCGGAAUUAUUGGGCGUAAAGCGUCCGCAGGUGGUCAGCCAAGUCUGCCGUCAAAUCAGGUUGCUUAACGACCUAAAGGCGGUGGAAACUGGCAGACUAGAGAGCAGUAGGGGUAGCAGGAAUUCCCAGUGUAGCGGUGAAAUGCGUAGAGAUUGGGAAGAACAUCGGUGGCGAAAGCGUGCUACUGGGCUGUAUCUGACACUCAGGGACGAAAGCUAGGGGAGCGAAAGGGAAUAGAUACCCCUGUAGUCCUAGCCGUAAACGAUGGAUACUAGGCGUGGCUU
This 700-nucleotide ribosomal RNA is filed under the name uncultured bacterium. Its description in RNAcentral is "bacterial SSU rRNA". It matches the Rfam family "Bacterial small subunit ribosomal RNA", at positions 94 to 828 of the family's 1533-position model. The record is from RNAcentral.